CGUAGGGUGCAAGCGUUAAUCGGAAUUACUGGGCGUAAAGCGUGCGCAGGCGGUGAUGUAAGACAGGUGUGAAAUCCCCGGGCUUAACCUGGGAACUGCAUUUGUGACUGCAUCGCUGGAGUGCGGCAGAGGGGGAUGGAAUUCCGCGUGUAGCAGUGAAAUGCGUAGAUAUGCGAAGGAACACCGAUGGCGAAGGCAAUCCCCUGGGCCUGCACUGACGCUCAUGCACGAAAGCGUGGGGAGCAAACAGGAUUAGAUACCCUGGUAGUCCACGCCCUAAACGAUGUCAACUGGUUGUUGGGUCUUCACUGACUCAGUAACGAAGCUAACGCGUGAAGUUGACCGCCUGGGGAGUACGGCCGCAAGGUUG
RNAcentral lists this ribosomal RNA (370 nucleotides) under uncultured organism. RNAcentral describes it as "bacterial SSU rRNA". It matches the Rfam family "Bacterial small subunit ribosomal RNA", at positions 526 to 896 of the family's 1533-position model. The record is from RNAcentral.